RNAcentral lists this non-coding RNA (180 nucleotides) under Nitrospinaceae bacterium. RNAcentral's name for it is "6S RNA". It matches the Rfam family "6S / SsrS RNA". Rfam says of the family: E. coli 6S RNA was the first non coding RNA to be sequenced, but its function was unknown until recently. It consists of 184 nucleotides that fold into an extended hairpin structure with a large single-stranded internal bulge. Lineage: Bacteria; Pseudomonadati; Nitrospinota; Nitrospinia; Nitrospinales; Nitrospinaceae. The record is from RNAcentral.
GCUUCCCUGUUUUGUACGUGUAAAAGUUGUAUUUUUUGAGCCAACAUUUAGCAAACGGGGAUGACCUUCUGCCGUGGUGUGCAUGCCUUCUCCGGAAGGAAGCCUGAAGCGGUAUACAGAUUCCCCACCUGUCCUUGACAGGUUCAAAAAAAUAUUUUUGCACGGCAUUGCGGGGGAGUU